CCUACGGGUGGCUGCAGUGGGGAAUAUUGGACAAUGGGGGCAACCCUGAUCCAGCCAUGCCGCGUGUGUGAAGAAGGCCCUCGGGUUGUAAAGCACUUUCAGUGAGGAAGAACGCCUGGUGGUUAAUACCCAUCAGGAAAGACAUCACUCACAGAAGAAGCACCGGCUAACUCCGUGCCAGCAGCCGCGGUAAUACGGAGGGUGCGAGCGUUAAUCGGAAUUACUGGGCGUAAAGCGCGCGUAGGUGGCUUGAUAAGCCGGUUGUGAAAGCCCCGGGCUCAACCUGGGAACGGCAUCCGGAACUGUCGAGCUAGAGUGCAGGAGAGGAAGGUAGAAUUCCCGGUGUAGCGGUGAAAUGCGUAGAGAUCGGGAGGAAUACCAGUGGCGAAGGCGGCCUUCUGGACUGACACUGACACUGAGGUGCGAAAGCGUGGGUAGCAAACAGGAUUAGAUACCCGGGUAGUC
This 465-nucleotide ribosomal RNA is filed under the name Vreelandella stevensii. Its description in RNAcentral is "partial 16S ribosomal RNA". It matches the Rfam family "Bacterial small subunit ribosomal RNA", at positions 338 to 795 of the family's 1533-position model. Lineage: Bacteria; Pseudomonadati; Pseudomonadota; Gammaproteobacteria; Oceanospirillales; Halomonadaceae. The record is from RNAcentral.